This is a non-coding RNA of Rattus norvegicus (Norway rat), 771 nucleotides long. The record is from RefSeq and is a predicted model, not a curated record. NCBI's taxonomy places the organism in Eukaryota, Metazoa, Chordata, Mammalia, Rodentia, Muridae.
UUAUGCUUACCAAGAGACAUGUUAAUGCAGCCUGCUAAUGUCUUAUAUUGACUACCCAUGUGUUCUUAAUUCCUAACCAAGAUGGUUCAGUGUAGGGUACACAUCUCAAACAUAUUGAAUAAUGAAGAGGAACAGCAACUUUGACCAAGAGGAGACACUUAUUUGUAAUGAUAUGUCACCCUACAAGUCUUCCAUUCAAGUCUGGAGGCACAAAAGAGAAGACUCUCCAUUGUUUCAGAGAGUAAUUGUCUCGUUGAAGAUAAGGAGCUUGGAUCAGGAAGGAUAGCUACUACUGGCGUUCUGCUGGAAAGGAGAUACGACCACGAAAGCAUGUGAUGGACAUCUAGGUUGUUUUCAGUUUCUGUCUCUUAUGAAUAAAGCUCCUAUGAACAGAGGUGAGCAAGUGGAACUUGGGGAAUCUGUGGAAGAGGAGGAGGAAGUAUUGUAAGAACCAGAAGGACAUCAUCAGUAAAUCUACAGAAUCCUGGGCCUAUCAGAGCUCACAAAGACUGAACUGCCAACCCAAACAUUUAAAAAAAGUAAUGGCAACAAGUCUAUAGCACAGAAACCUUGCUUCCCAAGGCAGCAGUGAGACAGAGAGACUGGAUCUGGAUCGUUCUUUUGAAAACUCCAAUCCUCCAAAUCCCCGUGAUCUAGAUGCGUCUGAAUUCAACCCAGCUCUGUUUAAAAUGUGCAACUGAAUAUCUUCCUGUGUAUGACACUCAUGAAGCCAGCACUACAAUCAAGAUAAUAAAAUCCAUCACCUGUAAA